AACGGCCAUACCAUGCUGAAUAUACCGGUUCUCGUUAGAUCACCGAAGUCAAGCAUCAUUGGGCGCGGUCAGUACUUGGGUGGGUGACCACCUGGGAACACCGCGUGCCGUAG
Caerostris darwini is the source of this 113-nucleotide non-coding RNA. The record is from the annotation of a GenBank genome assembly. Lineage: Eukaryota; Metazoa; Arthropoda; Arachnida; Araneae; Araneidae.